RNAcentral lists this long non-coding RNA (1372 nucleotides) under Apteryx rowi (Okarito brown kiwi). RNAcentral describes it as "lncRNA (ENSARWG00000015276.1)". The record is from RNAcentral. Lineage: Eukaryota; Metazoa; Chordata; Aves; Apterygiformes; Apterygidae.
GGUGGCGUUGCGCAUCCGCCCUGCGCUUCGAGCGGGAGCGUUGUUGCUGCCUGUGUCUGUCCGGGUGCCCCGCGGUGCCCCGCGCCUCCGCCGGAGAGCCGUAACGGGAUAAAAACCUCGGUCGAGAGCCAGAGGCAGGGCUGCAGCGCCUCCCCUGCCGCGAGCCUGCUGCACCCUCUCAGAGCGGGGGGCAGCAACCGCUCCGCGGCUCGGUUCUGUAAGGCGCCACAGGCAGGGCCGCACCGCACGCGGUGCUGGUUAAGUAGGGAUAAAAACCCCSCAUGUUAUUUACAUUCUGCAAAUGGCCAUGUUUUGCCUAGGCUUGUGAGUUCCCUCUAAAGCACUUAGCCUGUUUUAGGACAAAACUUUUAAUCUCUUCUGAAGUCCGUAGAACCUGCACGGCUGUCCCUAGUGACUGUCUGGAUUCUAAAGAAGAAAAGCGCAACAUUCAGAAGCGGAUCAAAACUGUGGGACAUGGCGCAAGGAAAUAAUUACGGGCAAAGCAGCAACGGGGUGGCUGAUGAAUCCCCAAACAUGCUGGUGUACAGAAAGGAACAUGGCAGACGUGACCUGCAUGGAACCAAGCGGGGCUGGUUUAGUUUUGGAACGUUGAGUGUUGGAAGCUCUGUGGAGCUAGAAGAUGGCCAUUGUCUCACAAAAGCUUCAGUUUGUACAUGUCCAGCUCUGAAAUGCAGGGAAAGUGCAUCUGAAACUCAACUCUCAUUUCAAUCCAGAUUGACUUUAGAGGAAACUAUCCUUUUCUCCACUCAUGAUGGAAAGAAUUUAGGGAGCCUGCAUAAUGGGGAGUACUGGAUAGUAAAUACCUUGGUUAUUGCUGGGUGGGUGUGUUUCUCCUACCUCCCUCUUUCUAAGACAGACAAAUCAAAAUUCCCUCUUGCCCUCCAGAAAUUUCCCCUUAGCUCUUAUAAAUCUAAUUAUCUUCUCAAGCUUCUUCUUUCCAAGUAUAAUUAUGUCAAUUUAGAUAACUGUUAUCUUGGGUUCUUCUCCUCAGGCUCUCUGCUGUAUUCUCUCCCUUCAUUUCACUGAAAACAAAAUAUUACUUUUUUGAGGCCUCUUGAAAGGUGUUCAAUAACAGGCCACAGAGAUUUAAAAGAGAGAUAUGGUACAACUCUUAGUAAAUUUGAAAAAUCUGAUUAGCAAAACUGACUAGCUGGAAAAUCUUGACCUUAUGCAUAGAUUCGACCUUUUAAAUACCCUUACAUGAGCUGCUUUUAUGAGGAAGUAUUUUAACGUACACAGUCUCUAAUGAUCUUUAAAAAUAAUUUAAAAACAUCAUCCUCUGAAAGAGACAAUCAUGCAUAGUUUACAAUAAUUACACAGUUAGGUAAGUGAGAUCUCUGCAGCGUUGGAG